CAGGUGUCUGCCACUGCAACUGACAUUGAGACAACUCUUAGUCUUCCUGCAAGUCCUCGCCUGAUACCUGGCGCUUCAUUGAUAUAAAUCCAGAGAGAGGGACAAAUGCCAAAAUCAUCAGGCAAGGUUGUCUCUAAGAAGAAAGGUGUGAUGGUCUAGAAGUCGUCUUCUGCAGUCAAUUACACACGUGGCCAUGCUACUGAAGAAUCUCCUUGACUUUUUAAUGGAACUUCAUAUAGAUCCUGGCAGCACUGGAAUAAUGCUGCAGAAGAACAGCGGCUAACAAAGUGAUGAUUAUCUCUUCUGGAUCCACAAGAACUAAGAUGUAAAAACACAAGCCUACCUCACAGGACAAUUUUAAGAGGUAACCUGCAAGUCUAGCUUGCAGUGGAACAGGUGCCUACCCUACGGUUUCAUCCUAAAUGUUUUUUUUUUAUGCUUAUUAUUGAUACAUCCUGACAAAAUGUUCUACUGUACUAUAAUAGUUUCAAAAUGGUCUUGGGUAUGUUUUUAAG
Molecule: non-coding RNA, 515 nt
Organism: Paramisgurnus dabryanus
Lineage: Eukaryota; Metazoa; Chordata; Actinopteri; Cypriniformes; Cobitidae
Source: RefSeq, a predicted model, not a curated record